RNAcentral lists this ribosomal RNA (234 nucleotides) under Escherichia coli. Its description in RNAcentral is "partial 23S ribosomal RNA". It matches the Rfam family "Bacterial large subunit ribosomal RNA", at positions 2081 to 2314 of the family's 2925-position model. Lineage: Bacteria; Pseudomonadati; Pseudomonadota; Gammaproteobacteria; Enterobacterales; Enterobacteriaceae. The record is from RNAcentral.
CGGAAAGACCCCGUGAACCUUUACUAUAGCUUGACACUGAACAUUGAGCCUUGAUGUGUAGGAUAGGUGGGAGGCUUAGAAGUGUGGACGCCAGUCUGCAUGGAGCCGACCUUGAAAUACCACCCUUUAAUGUUUGAUGUUCUAACGUUGACCCGUAAUCCGGGUUGCGGACAGUGUCUGGUGGGUAGUUUGACUGGGGCGGUCUCCUCCUAAAGAGUAACGGAGGAGCACGAA